This 123-nucleotide ribosomal RNA is filed under the name Erinaceus europaeus (western European hedgehog). Lineage: Eukaryota; Metazoa; Chordata; Mammalia; Eulipotyphla; Erinaceidae. The record is from RNAcentral.
AUCUAUAGCCAUACCACCCUGAACAUGCCCGAUCUCGUCUGAUCUCAUAAGCUAAGGAGGUUCGGGCCUGGCUAGUACUUGGGUGGGAGACCGACCGCCUGGGAAUACCGGGUGCUGUAGGCU